UGGAAAUUGUAAAACAAAAAAAAAGAAAAUCGAUUUUCCAAUGCGAUAAAAACGAAAACCUUAAUAAAUAUGAUUAGAAAAUUUUACAACACUGUAAUAUUCUAUUUCGGUAAAGGAAUAAGCAUCCAUUCUGCUUCUAUAUUUUCACCUUUCAGUGAAUGAGUCCUUCGUUUUUUUUGACAAACAAUUAAAACAAAAAUUAGAGGAUAUAAUUUGAAAUCCUCAUUCACCGAGAUUUAAGUGAAAAGGAUCUGUGUUUAUGCUUGUUUUUUCCUUGCCAAGGAGCAUUUCUGCCAUACAUAAACCCGUGGCAGGAGCUUGAGUUAUCCCCCAGUUGGCGUGACCCGCUGCAACAAAUACACCAGACUUGGUUGUUGAUAUUAUCGGGAUACCUGUUAUUCUACUGGUAGGAAGGAACUUAAAAGAUGCGUCUAAGUAGUUACUCUUCGUAUUCUCCGAGAGCACCAAAUCGGUCAUUUCUUUCAAUUCGAUAAUUUCAAAAGGAUUAAAAAAACAUCGAUUACUAUCUUUUGGCAGCAAAUGGAAUUUUGGAGUUCCCAUAAAAAUAAGCUGCUCCCGGUUUUUACUGAAAAUUUCGGUUGUUUUGCAAAUGUUUAGAUUACCCAUGGUAUUUAAACAACACACAACAAUGCUGUCGCCAACGGGAAAAUUUCCUACCGAUAGGUGAAUUAUGGGAAUGCAUAGACCUGCAAUACCAGUAAAUGGUAAUAGAUAACCAGUCCAAGGCCCAGCACUCACCAGCGUUUUAUGCACCUGUGCUUUUAUUAUUGUAUCUUCAGCUUCUUGUUUUGGAACGUAUGUAAUAUGGUGUUUACUAACCUCUUUCACACUUCCAAAUAUAAACUUUACUCCUCGUUUUUCUAUUUCUUUUGCCAUAAAUUGACAAAACAAUUUUGGAUUGAUCAUUGCAAAAUCGUUGCCGGAACCGAUACUAGAACCUAAAUGGUUAGUCUCUAUAUGACUUAUACAAUAAAGUUAUUAUUUUUUUUUGGUAGCACUUAUGAGCUUACAUUUUUGCAUGCGCUCUCGUUGAAGCCAUUGCAAAGUAUCGGGAACUUUGGCAACAUUGGUAUUGUCCCAUUUCAUCUUACAAAACCAAGAAUUGGCAGUCCUAUAUUCCCAGUUUUUCUUCCCAUCAAAUUUUUUAUCCAAUCCUUCAUAAAGCUUCAAAGCGAGAGUUGAAAGUGGCUGUAUGAUUUCAUUCUGGCACAGUUUUGUCAAGAUUGCAGAAUCAAUGCCGGAGCUACCUCCUGCUAUUUCUUUUGAUUCAAAUAUAAAUAUGUCCAAUUCUCCUUUUUUGUAUUCUUGUUCUUCUGUUAAGUAAAACGCCGUACAAAUUCCAAUAAUGCCACCUAAAAAUCAUCGUCAGCAUGCUCACUCAUCAUUUAUGAAACUGUUGUUCUCCAAAAUUACCUCCUACUAUUCCUAUCUUUGUCUUAUUUCCUUCUCUACUUGUAGCGCUCAUAUUUGAAGUUGGAAAGUUGACUUGAAACACAAUCAUCUUGCUGUAACGCUUCUAAACAUUACGUUAUCCUCACCAGUAUUUCCUUCAAUCUCUCUUAUUUUUUUACCAUUUUGAGAAUAAAAUAAAUAGCAAUAAUAAUAAUAACAAAACGGUUCAAUAUUCAACAGUUUUUGCCAUUCAGAAUGCCUUUCAUAAAUUGCUAUGGCGAGAUAUACGAUUCUUUCAUGAAUACCAAACGAUUGUAAAAAAGGAAAAAAAUUACAAAAUACUCCUCCUAAUCUAUAAAGUCAAGUUCGCAUAAACAAACGGAUUUUUAAAUUUUUGAAAUGCCAGAUUCACAUUCUUCAGAUAGUUUACAUAUUAUUUACACAUGCCUUAAUUAAAAUUACUGC
Molecule: non-coding RNA, 1878 nt
Organism: Schizosaccharomyces pombe (fission yeast)
Lineage: Eukaryota; Fungi; Ascomycota; Schizosaccharomycetes; Schizosaccharomycetales; Schizosaccharomycetaceae
Source: the annotation of a GenBank genome assembly